RNAcentral lists this long non-coding RNA (376 nucleotides) under Fukomys damarensis (Damara mole-rat). RNAcentral's name for it is "lncRNA (ENSFDAG00000030918.1)". Lineage: Eukaryota; Metazoa; Chordata; Mammalia; Rodentia; Bathyergidae. The record is from RNAcentral.
UGAGAUAAGGUGGAUCUGAGGACGUGUGUGACUCAGAGUGUAAAUGUCCAGGUCUGGGCAAAUAUUCCAGGCUGUGUGUCAGACUGCAGGCAGAAGCAAUGGGGUGGUCCACACCAAGGACUCCAGAGCCAAAGGAGCACCCAGGUCCUUCCUGGUGGAGCAAAGGGACAGCAGCUCCUUGAGGGAAAUGUUUGUGAAGGAAAAGAAGGUGGAGGUCUGGUCAGCCAUACUGAGAUCCCAUCCUUGCUCUGGCCUGCAUCAAGCCAACCAAAGAUAGAACAGAAGUAAACAACUGCAAUAAAGGAACAUCAGAUCUCCAUAGUUGGAAUAUGGUAAAUGUCCAAGUCCACAUCAGAGGAAUACUACAACACCACAG